GUGGGAGAUGAGGAAAUGUUGGACGGGCAAGGAGGCAUGGCUGAGUCAAAUAGGAAUCCUGACUUAAUGAAGUGGUGAUUAAAGAGCUCAGCCAUGUGCUUCUUGUCAGUAACAACCACAUCAUCAACAUUAAGGGACAUGGGCAGCUGUGAGGAGGAGGAUUUAUUCUCCAGGUCUUUAACUGUUUUCCAGAACUUCUUGGGGUUCGACCCACAGAGAGAGAACUGCUCCUUAAAGUAACUAACUUUGGCCUUCCGGAUAGCCUGAGUGAAUUUAUAUCUCAUUUGCCUGAACGAGAGCCAGUCAGCCUGAGUAUGCGUGUGCUGAGUCUUUUGCCAAAUGCAAUUCUUGAGGUGGUAGUAACUCUGCAAGAUCACGGUCGAAUCAGGAGCUGAACCUGUUUUUUUAAUUCUAAUUUUCUUUAUGGGGGCGUGUUAUGUUAACAAUACCACUGAAAAUAUAAAAAAAAUAAGGUCCAAGCAUCUUCAACAGAUGGGAACAAGCUGAUUCUAUACCAUUUCACAGAGGCCAGGUCAUGAAGGGAAGGCUUGCUCGUUAAAGUUGUUUAGCAAGCGUCUAUGACAAAUCAGGAAAGGUGGUUUCACUGGGCAGCCAUUACGAACACAGGCUGUAAAACAGUGAUCACUAAGGUCCUUACAGGAAACACCAGACUGAUACCUACCUAUCAGGAUUAUUUGUGAGGAUAACAUUGAGGAGAGUAGCCUUGUGGGAUUGGUGAUAAUCUGAGCAAGAUUUAGGGAGUCCCAUUGCUUUAGGGUUUAGUCAGGUGGUUUAAGCAUGUCCCAGUUUAGGUCACCUAGCAGGACAAAUUCAGACUUAGUGUAAAGGGUACAGGCCUGUGCUGAGGGCAGGUAGGGUACAGGCCGGUGCUGAGGGCAGGUAGGGUACAGGCCUGUGCUGAGGGCGGGUAGGGUACAGGCCUGUGCUGAGGGCAGGUAGGGUACAGGCCGGUGCUGAGGGCAGGUAGGGUACGGGCCGGUGCUGAGGGCAGGUAGGGUACAGGUAGGGUACGGGCCGGUGCUGAGGGCAGGUGGGGUACGGGCCGGUGCUGAGGGCAAGUGGGGUACGGGCCGGUGCUGAGGGCAGGUGGGGUACGGGCCGGUGCUGAGGGCAGGUGGGGUACGGGCCGGUGCUGAGGGCAGGUGGGGUACGGGCCGGUGCUGAGGGCCGGUGGGGUCCAGGCCGGUGCUGAGGGCCGGUGGGGUCCAGGCCGGUGCUGAGGGCCGGUGGGGUCCAGGCCGGUGCUGAGGGCCGGUGGGGUACAGGCCGGUGCUGAUGGAGGACGAUAGCACCCAGCAACAGUCAACAAAGAGCUAUUUGAAAGUUUUUAAAGCUUAAAAACGAGCAAAUCAAAUUGUUUGGGGGACAGACUUGGUGGAGACAACUGAGCACUGAAGGUGAUCCUUGGUAAAAGAUUGCCACUCCACCACCUUUGGAAGAUCUGUCUUUCCGAAAAAAAGUUUAGAACCAGAAAGGUUAAACAUCAGGAUUCAAAACACUCUUCCUUAACCACAUCUCAGUAAUGACCAACACAUCUGGAUUGGAGAUGUGAACCCACACUUUCAAUGGAUCCAUUUUAGGUAAUAAGCUUCCGAGUGUUAACGUGCAGAAAACCCCAAGGCUUUU
RNAcentral lists this long non-coding RNA (1647 nucleotides) under Salmo salar (Atlantic salmon). Its description in RNAcentral is "lncRNA (ENSSSAG00000082314.1)". Lineage: Eukaryota; Metazoa; Chordata; Actinopteri; Salmoniformes; Salmonidae. The record is from RNAcentral.